RNAcentral lists this transfer RNA (72 nucleotides) under Hungatella hathewayi. Its description in RNAcentral is "tRNA-Trp". It matches the Rfam family "tRNA". From Rfam's summary of the family: Transfer RNA (tRNA) molecules are approximately 80 nucleotides in length. The record is from RNAcentral. RNAcentral also lists the same sequence under 1 other name. Lineage: Bacteria; Bacillati; Bacillota; Clostridia; Lachnospirales; Lachnospiraceae.
AGGAGUUUGGUGUAAUGGUCAGCAUAAUGGUCUCCAAAACCAUCGAUCUGGGUUCGAGUCCCAGGAUUCCUG